RNAcentral lists this ribosomal RNA (274 nucleotides) under uncultured bacterium. RNAcentral describes it as "partial 16S ribosomal RNA". It matches the Rfam family "Bacterial small subunit ribosomal RNA", at positions 523 to 796 of the family's 1533-position model. The record is from RNAcentral.
CUACGGAGGGGGUUAGCGUUGUUCGGAAUUACUGGGCGUAAAGCGCACGUAGGCGGACUGGAAAGUUGGGGGUGAAAUCCCGGGGCUCAACCCCGGAACUGCCUCCAAAACUUCCAAUCUAGAGAUCGAGAGAGGUGAGUGGAAUUCCAAGUGUAGAGGUGAAAUUCGUAGAUAUUUGGAGGAACACCAGUGGCGAAGGCGGCUCACUGGCUCGAUACUGACGCUGAGGUGCGAAAGCGUGGGGAGCAAACAGGAUUAGAUACCCUAGUAGUCC